UGGGGAAUAUUGCACAAUGGGCGGAAGCCUGAUGCAGCGACGCCGCGUGGGGGAUGAAGGCCUUCGGGUUGUAAACUCCUUUCGACAGGGACGAAGCUUUUGUGACGGUACCUGUAUAAGAAGCACCGGCUAACUACGUGCCAGCAGCCGCGGUAAUACGUAGGGUGCAAGCGUUGUCCGGAAUUACUGGGCGUAAAGAGCUCGUAGGUGGUUUGUCGCGUCGUCUGUGAAAUUCCGGGGCUUAACUCCGGGCGUGCAGGCGAUACGGGCUGACUUGAGUGCUGUAGGGGAGACUGGAAUUCCUGGUGUAGCGGUGAAAUGCGCAGAUAUCAGGAGGAACACCGAUGGCGAAGGCAGGUCUCUGGGCAGUAACUGACGCUGAGGAGCGAAAGCAUGGGUAGCGAACAGG
RNAcentral lists this ribosomal RNA (409 nucleotides) under Actinomycetes bacterium. RNAcentral describes it as "Actinobacteria bacterium partial 16S ribosomal RNA". It matches the Rfam family "Bacterial small subunit ribosomal RNA", at positions 355 to 776 of the family's 1533-position model. The record is from RNAcentral. Lineage: Bacteria; Bacillati; Actinomycetota; Actinomycetes.